Molecule: ribosomal RNA, 501 nt
Filed under: uncultured Bacteroidota bacterium
Lineage: Bacteria; Pseudomonadati; Bacteroidota
Description: bacterial SSU rRNA
Rfam family: Bacterial small subunit ribosomal RNA
Source: RNAcentral
UAUAGUUCUUCGGAGCUAGAGACCGGCGCACGGGUGCGUAACGCGUAUGCAAUCUACCUUUUACAGAGGGAUAGCCCAGAGAAAUUUGGAUUAAUACCUCAUAGCAUUAUGAUAUGGCAUCGUAUUAUAAUUAAAGUUCCAACGGUAAAAGAUGAGCAUGCGUCCCAUUAGCUAGUUGGUGUGGUAACGGCACACCAAGGCUACGAUGGGUAGGGGUCCUGAGAGGGAGAUCCCCCACACUGGUACUGAGACACGGACCAGACUCCUACGGGAGGCAGCAGUGAGGAAUAUUGGACAAUGGGCGCAAGCCUGAUCCAGCCAUGCCGCGUGCAGGAUGAAGCAUCUAUGGUGUGUAAACUGCUUUUGUACAGGAAGAAACCCUCCCACGUGUGGGAGAUUGACGGUACUGUAAGAAUAAGGAUCGGCUAACUCCGUGCCAGCAGCCGCGGUAAUACGGAGGAUCCAAGCGUUAUCCGGAAUCAUUGGGUUUAAAGGGUCCGU